RNAcentral lists this ribosomal RNA (253 nucleotides) under uncultured bacterium. RNAcentral describes it as "partial 16S ribosomal RNA". It matches the Rfam family "Bacterial small subunit ribosomal RNA", at positions 524 to 776 of the family's 1533-position model. The record is from RNAcentral.
UACGGAGGGGGCUAGCGUUGUUCGGAAUUACUGGGCGUAAAGCGAGCGUAGUCGGUUAUUUAAGUCGGGUGUGAAAGCCCCGGGCUCAACCUGGGAAUUGCAUUCGAUACUGGAUAGCUAGAGUUCGGCAGAGGGAAGCGGAAUUUCCGGUGUAGCGGUGAAAUGCGUAGAUAUCGGAAGGAACAUCAGUGGCGAAAGCGGCUUCCUGGACCAGAACUGACGAUCAGGCUCGAAAGCAUGGGGAGCAAACAGG